Molecule: long non-coding RNA, 235 nt
Filed under: Homo sapiens (human)
Lineage: Eukaryota; Metazoa; Chordata; Mammalia; Primates; Hominidae
Description: long non-coding RNA NONHSAT040539
Source: RNAcentral
CUGGUGAAGCCCUCACAGACCCUCUCCCUCAUGUGUGUCAUCUCUGCAUUCUCCAUCACAACCAGUGCUUCCUCCUGGAGCUGCAUCCAUCAGCCCCUCUCUGGGAGGGAAUGGAGUGGAUUGGGUGCAUAGGUCAUGAAGGGAGCACACAUUACUCCCCUUUCCUCAAGAGUCCAGUCACCAUCCCCAGAUCCAUGUCCAAAAACAGUUCUUCCUACAGCUGAGCUACAUGAGC